This 253-nucleotide ribosomal RNA is filed under the name uncultured bacterium. RNAcentral describes it as "partial 16S ribosomal RNA". It matches the Rfam family "Bacterial small subunit ribosomal RNA", at positions 524 to 776 of the family's 1533-position model. The record is from RNAcentral.
UACGUAGGGGGCAAGCGUUGUCCGGAAUUAUUGGGCGUAAAGAGCGUGUAGGCGGCCAGAUAAGUCCGCUGUGAAAUCUCGAGGCUCAACUUCGAGCUGUCGGUGGAAACUAUCUGGCUAGAGUCCGGAAGAGGAGAAUGGAAUUCCUGGUGUAGCGGUGAAAUGCGCAGAUAUCAGGAAGAACACCCGUGGCGAAGGCGGUUCUCUGGGACGGUACUGACGCUGAGGCGCGAAAGCGUGGGGAGCGAACAGG